RNAcentral lists this non-coding RNA (51 nucleotides) under pig gut metagenome. The record is from RNAcentral.
UUACGAGGACAGAUUUGUAUGCUUGCAACCUCGUACAAAAAAUGCUAAAAU